RNAcentral lists this ribosomal RNA (620 nucleotides) under uncultured bacterium. RNAcentral's name for it is "bacterial SSU rRNA". It matches the Rfam family "Bacterial small subunit ribosomal RNA", at positions 338 to 1461 of the family's 1533-position model. The record is from RNAcentral.
CCUACGGGAGGCAGCAGUGGGGAAUAUUGGACAAUGGGCGAAAGCCUGAUCCAGCAAUGCCGCGUGAGUGAUGAAGGCCUUCGGGUCGUAAAGCUCUUUUACCAGGGAUGAUAAUGACAGUACCUGGAGAAUAAGCUCCGGCUAACUCCGUGCCAGCAGCCGCGGUAAUACGGAGGGAGCUAGCGUUGUUCGGAAUUACUGGGCGUAAAGAGUACGUAGGCGGUUAUUCAAGUCAGAGGUGAAAGCCCGGGGCUCAACCCCGGAACUGCCUUUGAAACUAGAUAACUAGAGUCUUGGAGAGGUUAGUGGAAUUCCGAGUGUAGAGGUGAAAUUCGUAGAUAUUCGGAAGAACACCAGUGGCGAAGGCGACUAACUGGACAAGUACUGACGCUGAGGUACGAAAGCGUGGGGAGCAAACAGGAUUAGAUACCCUGGUAGUCCACGCCGUAAACGAUGAUAACUAGUUGUUCGGUCACUUGGUGACUGAGUGACGCAGCUAACGCAUUAAGUUAUCCGCCUGGGGAGUACGGUCGCAAGAUUAAAAACUCAAAAGUAGUAAGUUAGACCGGCGUAGAAGACGUCGACCGAACGGACCGAACCGAACGGAAGGGGUAAGUAGG